RNAcentral lists this ribosomal RNA (253 nucleotides) under uncultured bacterium. RNAcentral's name for it is "partial 16S ribosomal RNA". It matches the Rfam family "Bacterial small subunit ribosomal RNA", at positions 524 to 776 of the family's 1533-position model. The record is from RNAcentral.
UACGAAGGGGGCUAGCGUUGCUCGGAAUCACUGGGCGUAAAGGGUGCGUAGGCGGGGCUUUAAGUCAGGGGUGAAAUCCUGGAGCUCAACUCCAGAACUGCCUUUGAUACUGAGGAUCUUGAGUUCGGGAGAGGUGAGUGGAACUGCGAGUGUAGAGGUGAAAUUCGUAGAUAUCCGCAAGAACACCAGUGGCGAAGGCGGCUCACUGGCCCGAUACUGACGCUGAGGCACGAAAGCGUGGGGAGCAAACAGG